UGUCCUCAGUCCCGGGUCGUCUCGGCGCGGUUCCGAGCGGUCGCUCCCUCGCGAGGUGCCGCGGGUCAGCGGCUGACGCCAGCCACCUUCCCGACCCGUCUUGAAACACGGACCAAGGAGUCUAACAUGUGCGCGAGCCGCGGGGCAGUACGAAACCCGUAAGGCGAAAUGAAGGUGAACGCCGGCGCGGUCCGGCGGAGGUUGGAUCCCGUCCCGUCGGGGCGGGCGCACUACCGGCCGAUCUUCUCCGCCCUGUCGGCGAGGUCGAGCGAGAGCGUGCAAGUCGGGACCCGAAAGAUGGUGAACUAUGCCUGAGGAGGUUGAAGCCAGAGGAAACUCUGGUGGAGGACCGUAGCGAUUCUGACGUGCAAAUCGAUCGUCAAAUUUGGGUAUAGGGGCGAAAGACUAAUCGAACCGUCUAGUAGCUGGUUCCCUUCGAAGUUUCCCUCAGGAUAGCUGGCGCUCUGUCGCAGUUUUAUCUGGUAAAGCGAAUGAUUAGAGGUUUUGGGGGGCGAAACGCCCUCAACCUAUUCUCAAACUUUAAAUUGGUAAGAAGCCCGACUCGCUCGUUUGGAGCCGGGCAUGGAAUGCGAGU
Molecule: non-coding RNA, 595 nt
Organism: Ciona savignyi (Pacific transparent sea squirt)
Lineage: Eukaryota; Metazoa; Chordata; Ascidiacea; Phlebobranchia; Cionidae
Source: Rfam